Molecule: long non-coding RNA, 2413 nt
Filed under: Nicotiana tabacum (common tobacco)
Lineage: Eukaryota; Viridiplantae; Streptophyta; Magnoliopsida; Solanales; Solanaceae
Description: long non-coding RNA (NTAB_LNC012780)
Source: RNAcentral
CCCAAUGGCUGCAAGCACAAACAGGAGAUAACGGUAAGUGAAAAGCUGGUGAAACCCAUACCACUAGGAAAUCACAAGAGAUGCGGGAGACGAGAUUGAAAAACCCCCCUUUUUCGAAGCCUAACAAUAUCAAGAUUGCAAUGCAAGCACCAAAAAGACCAAGAAACCGUGUAACAUACUGGAUCACCAACCUUUGAAAUUCAAUAUCCAAUCCUUAAUUACUGUCACCAUGUGUAACAUACUGGAUCACCAACCUUUGAAAUUCAAAAUCCAAUCCUUAAUUUCUGUCACCAUGUGGUCUACACAUCCACCCAACAAACAAAAACAAGUUGGCCUGAUAAACAAAAGAAAAUAGUAGCAGAGAAGAUAUGUAGCGAGAAAACCAAAGGUAGAUGUGCACUUUAUGGGGCUAUCAAAAGAUCCAUAUUUGAGAUUGAAUACUUAUCAGGUGUCCAUAACCAUAAGAGAGAUCUCACAAGUUGGAUAAUUGAAGAACAUAAGCAUCUGGAUUGAAGAUGAAAAAAGGGCAGCAGAAUACACUACAAACACUUGUGAAAAGAUUUAUCUCAGGUGACAAUUUCUGUAUUACCAGCAGUUUGGACAAAGAGAGAAGGGAAUCACUAUCAUUAGGGAAGGAAACUGGAAUGAAAAUCUCAAUAAUUAUAGAAGUCUAAACUACAGAAACCUCAAUGCAAAUCGGCAAGGAAACAUGCGGCUCCAUGGAAAGACGCAUUCACUGCUCUAAGGCCCAAUGGCUGCAAGCACAAAUAGGAGGCAACAUUUAAGUGAAAAACUGGUGAAAACCAUACCACUAGGAAAUCAAAAGAAAUGCCAGAGACAAGAUUGAAAACCCCCUUUCUCGAAGCCUGACAAUACCAAGAUUGCAUGCAAGCACCAAAAAGACCAAGAAACCAUGCAUAACGCAUGCUGGAUCACCAACCUUUGAAAUUUCAAAAUCCAAUCCUUCCAUGUGGUCUACACAUCCCAACAACAAACAAAUACAAGUUUGCGUGAUAAACAAAAGAAAAUAGUAGCAGAGAAGAUAUGUAGCGAGAAAACCAAAGGUAGAGGAGCACUUUAUGGGGCUAUCAAAAGAUCCAGAUUUGAGAUUGAGUACUUAUCAGGUGUCCAACCAAGUGCCCAUAACCAUAAGCGAGAUCUCAUCAGUUGGAUCAUCGAAGAUACAUAAGCAUCAGGAAUGACAACUGAAAAUGGCAGCAGAAUAUGCUAUACACACUUGUGAAAAGAUUUAAUCUCAGUUGACAAUUUCCGUAUACCAGCAGUUUGACAAAGAUAAGUAAUCACUCUGAUUAGGGAAGAAAAUUGGAUUGGAAAUCUCAAUACUCAUAGAAGCCUAAACUACAGAGACCAACGGAGACCUCAAUGAUCGGCAAGGAAAACAAGGCGGGGCUCCAUGCAAGGAGGAAUUCACUUCUCUAGGGCCAAUGACUGCAAGCAAAAACUAGGGGUAACAGUAAGUGAAAAGCUGCUGAAACCCAUACCACUAGGAAAUAAGAGAAGCCAGACACAAGAUUGAAAUUCCCCCUUUCUCGAAGCCUGACAAUAUCAGGAAUGCAAUGCAAGCACCAAAAAGACCAAGAAACCGUACCACCAACCUUUGAAAUUUCAAAAUCCAGCCCUUAAUUCCUGUCACUGUGUGGUCUACACAUCUAUCCAACAAACAAAAACAAGUUGGCAUGAUAACCAAAAGAAAACAGAAGCUGAGAAGAUGAGUAGGGAGACCACCAAAAGUGGAAGAGCACUUUAUUAGGCUAUCUAAAGAUGCAGAAUUGAGUACUUAUCAGGUGUCAAUAAUGAUAAGAGAUCUCAUCAGCUGGAUCAUCGAAGAACAUAAGCAUCUGGAUUGAAAACUAAAAACGGCAGCAGAAUACACUAUACAUGCUUGCGGAAAGAAUAAUCUUAAUUGAGAGCUUCCAUAUAACAGCAGUUUUUGACAAAGCUUAGAGACACGAAAAUCUCCAAUACCUCUUAAGCCUAAGACCUGAGAACUUGCUCUGCACCUUCCCGAGCACAAACACCAAAGCAAUACACCUUCAGAAUCACUUGCCCCCUUAGAUCAAUCUUAAUACUCAUCCAUUGAAAACUACACCACCUGGGAUGAAAUCCACCAGAUGACCAAACCAAAAUAUGCAUUGAAGAAGUCAAGGUAAAAGAAGUUGAUGCGAGAAUAAGACAAUAUUAGCAUCAAUAUUAGCUGCAAGACAUCAAAUCCAAACUGAUAGCUCCAUGCUGAAGUUGUGCCCUGCUUGUCUUGUGACGCAUAGGGCUAGAACAGAUGACGGGCUCAUUCAUCUGAAGAUCCAAGUCAGCGGGGAGCAAAAUUGCUUGAGGUUUCAGAGUAGCAAUAGCUCAAAUAGUAUGGAAAGAAGUGUACACUACCGUAACUUCUCAA